This 543-nucleotide ribosomal RNA is filed under the name Forficula auricularia complex sp. B sensu Guillet et al. (2000) (European earwig). RNAcentral describes it as "Forficula auricularia B (European earwig) partial 16S ribosomal RNA". Lineage: Eukaryota; Metazoa; Arthropoda; Insecta; Dermaptera; Forficulidae. The record is from RNAcentral.
UUGAACUCAGAUCAUGUAAGAUUCCAAAGGUCGAACAGACCCAAUCCUGGAACUUCUGCACCCCAGGUUACUCUUAAUCCAACAUCGAGGUCGCAACCUUUUUUGUCGAUAUGAACUCUCAAAGAAAAAUUACGCUGUUAUCCCUAAGGUAUUUUCUUCUUUUUUCCAACCAGGUUGGAUCCUUCGUUUACAUAUUUGUAUUGCCUUUAAAGAAAAGCUAAAUCUCUUUUCCUGUCGCCCCAACCAAAAUACCUUUCAAUCUCUUAAAGAUUAAUUUUCCCUCCCAAGAAAUUGGGUCUGUAGUGAAAAUCUAUAGGGUCUUCUCGUCUUUUAAACUUAUUUUUGCUUUUUUACAAAAAAAUAAAAUUCAACUCUUUUUCUCGGAGACAGCUUAAACCUCAUUGAAUCGUUCAUUCCAGCCAUCAAUUAAAAGACUAUUGAUUAUGCUACCUUCGCACGGUCAGAAUACCGCGGCUCUUUAAAAUUGAAUCAGGGAGCAGACCUUACCUUUUAUACGUCCCAAAGGGCAAUGUUUUUGUUAAA